Long non-coding RNA from Lontra canadensis (Northern American river otter), 523 nucleotides. RefSeq lists it as uncharacterized. The record is from RefSeq and is a predicted model, not a curated record. The transcript is spliced from 3 exons. Lineage: Eukaryota; Metazoa; Chordata; Mammalia; Carnivora; Mustelidae.
CAGCCUGUUUUCUUCUUAAGUCUUACAACCUAUGUCUCUUGACUCUCCCAAGUCUGCGGGCCUGUGCAGAUGAUGUUCCUCCUACCUCUGGCGGAUGAUGACAGCUGCAGCCCACUGCUCUGUAUAAGCAAGCAUGUCAGAAAGCUUGGAGUACCUCAGCUGCCCUUUACAGAACAAAAGCAUCCUCUUGAGUAGCUAAAGCUUGGACUUCUAAGUAAGGCAUCCAUGAGGAGAUCAUCCUGACUCUGUUGACAUUCUGAAGUAAUGCUCAAUGCCAAGAAAUCUCCUUGACCUUUAAAAACCUAUUUGGCAAGUUUCUUCUCAGUCAUCAGCUAUUGAUUAACAGUGCUCAUCCAACUCAUCCUUACUGAAUUGUCUUUCUUUGCUUGAUGCUGUAGAAGUGCUGAAAGAGCCCAUAGUGAUAACUGCCUUUCUUCUUUUCUUCUGUGAUUCCCACUCAGGAUUGUUUUAUUAUCCAUUCCUAGGUGUAAACCUGUAUUAUACUGUGUUUUGUUAUGACACA